AAAGAGGAUCAGAUCAUCGACCG
RNAcentral lists this non-coding RNA (23 nucleotides) under Arabidopsis thaliana (thale cress). Lineage: Eukaryota; Viridiplantae; Streptophyta; Magnoliopsida; Brassicales; Brassicaceae. The record is from RNAcentral.